This 961-nucleotide small RNA is filed under the name Rattus norvegicus (Norway rat). Its description in RNAcentral is "uncharacterized LOC103691964". The record is from RNAcentral. Lineage: Eukaryota; Metazoa; Chordata; Mammalia; Rodentia; Muridae.
UCGAACUCAGAGGUCCCCUGCACUUUGCCUCCCGAGUACUGAGAUUAAAGUCAUGAGUACCGCGCCCGGCACGACCUGUGUUUGAGACAGGACCUCCUCAUUAUAUGUCCCUGACUGGCCUGGAACUCGCUCUAUAGAGAGGGCUGGUUUUGAACACGUGGCUGUCUUCCUGUCUCUGCCUCCCUCUCCGGUGCUGGGAUUCCAGGCACGUGCCAUCGCAUCUGGCUUUUCUAUGCUCUUGAGCCUCUCUGCGUCUACUGUGCCUCCCUGGUGCCCCUCUGUGCUCUCUUCCCCCUCCUGGGAUGUCAUACAGGAAGCUUGAAACCAGCCACAAUAGAAGUAUUUACACGAAGGAAAUUGGCGUGUGCUACAGAUCAGACCUGCGUUCUGUCAGCGUCUGUGUUCAUGGAGCUGUGACACCAUUUGUCAAUGCCUGGUUGAUCUGAAAUCACAGAGGGGGAUAGAAGACUACAAGCAGGUGAUGGAGAGACGGCUCACCAUGCAAGCGAGAGGACUUCCAAGUAGACCACCAGCACCCACAGAAACAGUCACGCGCAGUGGUGUGCCUAUGUAAUUCCAGCACCGGGGACACCGAGACAGGAGGAUCCCUGAGGUUUGCUAGCAGUGAUCCUAGCAAAAUCAGUGAGAUCUCCAAGAUCAGCAAGAAACCCUGCCUCAAAAAGUAAGGUAUAGAAUAGCUGAGGAAGACAUCUAACAUUAACUCACUGACCUCUGGCAUCUGUAUCACACAAGGUGGGGGAUGGGGGGAAACAAGUACCCAGUUCCACCAGGGACCCCAGUAGUACCACCCUACUGUUGAUUUUCAGCCUUCAUUUGUCUUUUAUAUAAAUAUUCAUUUAGAAGCAUUGUUUGUGGAAAAUAAAUGGGAAGAUGCCCCCUCUUCACACAUGGGAAGAAUUAAUGUUGUUGAAAUGUGCACAUUAUUGGGGGUUGGAGAGAU